This is a long non-coding RNA of Equus caballus (horse), 2316 nucleotides long. Lineage: Eukaryota; Metazoa; Chordata; Mammalia; Perissodactyla; Equidae. The record is from Ensembl.
AUAUUUUUCCACAAGUCUCCAGUCAUCUUUAUUUCUUUCGUUCCCCUCUCCUCUGCUCAUUUCUAUACGCUCCUUCAUCUUCAAGCUCCUUUUCAUUUCUCUUGAGGAGCAGUUUAUCUUUCUAUUUUCUGACACUAAAAUCUAUGCGUUGGGGGCUUCAUUUCUCAUCCUUCAUGCAGCUUAUUAAGAUCAAACUUGGACCAUUGUGCUGAGGUCAAGCUACUGCAGUUUAAAAUGGAUAUAGUAAAUUGAAUUCACUCAGAGGAAAGCAACCAAGGGGAUGCAAGUUGUUUUGCAGUUUAAUGCACCAAUGCAGAAAGGAAGAGGGAGGGCUAUGAGCAGCAACAGAGACAUCAGCAAGCUGAAGGGACCUGUCCGUGUUCUUCAGCCAAAGACCAUCAGGAACGCACCUGAAAUUGAACAAGUGGAGUGAUGCAGGGGGAGAUUUGACAGACAGAACAGGAGGAUACACAAGACAAGGAAGGAGGAGGUUGAAGUGAUGCAUCUACAAGCCAAGGAAUGUGAAGGAUCGUUGGCAGCUGCCAGAAGUUAGGAGACAGCAUGAAAUGGAUUCUCUCCUGUACUCCCCCAAGCGGACCAACCCUGCCCACCCUUCAUUUUGGACUCCAGGCCUCCAGAACUGAGAAGGAUAUCAAUCAUACGGUGAAGAUUUGGGGACUUCAACCUAAGGGAGAUUUGGCCGAGGGGCUCCCAGAAAAACUAUGUUUAAGAACAACAUCUACUGUCUUCUCUGGAGGCCUCCUCUCUCCACCUGCAAUGCAUUCGAAGUCCACUGGGAUUUCUUUCUCCGAUUAUAAUUUAUUAAUGCUAAAAUGGACUUUAAGGACCUUCUCCGUCACAUGUUCUUCAGUCGCCAUAAGACUUAAAACAUUUCCGUUGCUAUGCUGAAUAUUCUACUCAAAGCUGACAACUGCAAGAAGUUAAGUGUCUGUUUACCAAUACCUCAACAUAAGGUUUAGUGUGUAUUCUUGAUUUUCCCUAGCCAGGAUGACAGAAGCGAACCUUCUGGCAAUGUAGAGAACUGUCUGCCAUAUUAUGUGGUAUGUCUUGUCGAGAUCUUAGACAUGCUAGGCUGUAGCCUGACUUUGGUGUCCUGUUGAAGGCGAAGGGCAGGUCUAUGGUCUUAUGAGUAGAGAGGAGAUGGGAGACUGUUCUCUCUGGGCAGAUGUGCAAAGCAGCAGACUGCAGGCAGACCCUUAGGCUUAGGUGUGGGAGAGAACUCCUAUCUCUCUUGUCCUUACUGUUCAUUCUGAACUUCCAGGAGCCUAGACAGGCUUGAAGACCCUCUGGAGGGAGGGAUUACAAACAGCCUCAACCAGAGUGAAGCAAAUCUGGAGAGAGGAUGCAAGUAUCGCUGUAACAACCUCCACGACGAGGAUGAGUGAAGGGAACCUAAGUGUUUAAUUGCCAAAAACUUCAGGUGUCCGCCCGCCUUUUCCUUUCUGGGUCUUAAGAGUCUUUUUCAAAGUCUCAAACUUGUCUCAGCCAUGCUGUGGAAGUCAGGAGAGGAAUUACAUGUGCACUCUUGGGCUGAAGUGUUAAAGGGGGAGAAGCAACUCCUUCCCCUUGAAUCAAGAGAUCCACAAGUGGCUGGGGUGUAGCUUUGAGUAGCUGUUAGGACCUCCUUACAUGAAGACUUUUUCUCUGUUGCUGGAAUGUCUUGAGGCUGGUAAAUGUCCUUAUGUUUCCUAAAUGAGAAUCAUCUUAUCAACUAACUGGUUAAUUGAAAAAUAUUUUUGAGCACCUAUUAUAUUUUAGGCACUGUAGGGGAACGUAAAGAAGCAGAAGACAUGUUAGUUUGUCCUCAAUUAAAACAAAAUCUAAUAGGAGAAAUAAAAUCUGAUCUUAUUGACUAAAAGCAGAUCCAUGCUAACACAGAAGAAAUGUUGAGUAGACGUAAGCACUGCAGAGAGCUCUCUUGAUUACUAGGUCUAGAUAUCACUGAAAUGGUACACAUUUUACUUCCCACCUCUAAAAGGAGAGUUUAAAUAGAAAGCUUGGAUUCUUUUCAGAUCUGAUUCAUCAAGAACAGUGACGUCCUUAAGGCUGAAUAUAGAUCUUUGGGACUCAGAGCUGAUCAACACCUUCUCCAGGUCAGAUGUCACCGCUGUCCUCUUGCAGCUGUAUUGUCUCGCAUGGGAGACAGUAUUCCUUGAACUCUGCAGGCACUCCUUCCUCAGCACUUAACACAAGGGAAGAGGGAAUGAGAGCAGAGAUUUAGGUGGUGAUGAGAAAGGUGUUAUCCUGAAAUGGCAUUUUAUUUUGUUAAGGAAAUAAAUUGAUAAUUUUGUGGUU